RNAcentral lists this ribosomal RNA (1307 nucleotides) under uncultured bacterium. RNAcentral describes it as "bacterial SSU rRNA". It matches the Rfam family "Bacterial small subunit ribosomal RNA", at positions 104 to 1367 of the family's 1533-position model. The record is from RNAcentral.
GGGUGCGUAACGCGUGGGAAACUUGCCCUUGAGCCUGGGAUACCCUGGCGAAAGUCAGGUUAAUACCAGAUGGUCCUUACUGCUCGCAUGAGUGGUUUGGUAAAGGUGGCCUCGACCGCAAGGUCGCUACUGUUCAAGGAGAGUCCCGCGUCCCAUCAGCUAGUUGGUAGGGUAACGGCCUACCAAGGCAUUUGACGGGUAGCUGGCCUGAGAGGGUGGUCAGCCACACUGGGACUGAGACACUGCCCAGACUCCUACGGGAGGCUGCAGUCGAGAAUCUUUGGCAAUGGGCGAAAGCCUGACCAUGCGACGCCGCGUGCGGGAUGAAGGCUUUCGGGUCGUAAACCGCUGUCACGAGGGACGAAGGUCUGUAGGCGAAUAGCCUGUCAGAUUUGACGGUACCUCGAGAGGAAGCCACGGCUAACUCCGUGCCAGCAGCCGCGGUAAUACGGAGGUGGCAAGCGUUGCUCGGAUUCACUGGGUGUAAAGGGUAGGUAGGCGGUCCUGUAAGUCGGGUGUGAAAGCCCAUGGCUCAACCAUGGAACUGCGCCUGAAACUGCAAGACUUGAGGACAGCAGAGGUGAAUGGAAUUCCCGGUGUAAGGGUGAAAUCUGUAGAGAUCGGGAGGAACACCAGUGGCGAAGGCGAUUCACUGGGCUGUCCCUGACGCUGAGAUACGAAAGCUAGGGGAGCGAACAGGAUUAGAUACCCUGGUAGUCCUAGCUGUAAACGAUGCGCACUAGGUGUUGGCUCACAUCUGUGGGUCAGUGCCGUAGGUAACCCGUUAAGUGCGCCACCUGGGGAGUACGGCCGCAAGGUUGAAACUCAAAGGAAUUGACGGGGGCCAGCACAAGCGGUGGAACAUGUGGUUCAAUUCGAUGCUACGCGAAGAACCUUACCAAGGCUUGACAUGCAAGAAGUAGGAACCUGAAAGGGCCACGACUCGUAACCAGUCGAGAGCUUGCACAGGUGCUGCAUGGCUGUCGUCAGCUCGUGCCGUGAGGUGUUGGCUUAAGUGCCACAACGAGCGCAACCAUCACUCACAGUUGCCAUCAGAUCCGCAAGGAUGCUGGGAACUCUGUGGGAACUGCCAGCGACGAGCUGGAGGAAGGUGGUGAUGACGUCAAGUCCGUACGGCCUGUAUGCCUUGGGCUACACACGUGUUACAAUGGAGCCGACAACGCGCUGCAAACCCGCGAGGGCAAGCUAAUCGCUUAAACGACUCCUCAGUUCGGAUCGCAGGCUGCAACCCGCCUGCGUGAAGUCGGAAUCGCUAGUAACGGCGGAUCAGCUACGCCGCCGUGAAU